This 2869-nucleotide long non-coding RNA is filed under the name Orbicella faveolata. RNAcentral describes it as "uncharacterized LOC110046843". Lineage: Eukaryota; Metazoa; Cnidaria; Anthozoa; Scleractinia; Merulinidae. The record is from RNAcentral.
CUCAAGCAGUGUCUCAUCUAGAGUUUGCUCCAUAAAGGAAACUAAGAGCUUACUGUACUGUGAAUAUUUCAGACGCUUAAAAUUUCGGACACUUAAAAAUUUCAGACAGUUUGAAUUUCGGACACCUUUUGUCCGAAAUUGAAAUCGUCCUAAUUUUUUUGCAAUUAUUAUGGUACAAUUGUUACUUCGUAACUAUUAUUUCAUGUAUGUGUUUAGUAACUAUUCUAUUCUUCAAUAUUUAGCCCUAAAAAUGACUUUUUCUGCUCUAUUGCAGUGUCUAAAAAGGCUAGCAGAAUAUAUAAAUGAACAGAACCAGAGUGUCUUUGUUCCAAGGGGACUGAUGAUUACUAACCCCAUGGACAGAGGACUUCGAGUUAUUGAAAUUGUGGUGGUUAACCCAUUAGAUCAGAGGUGACCAAUGAAAUCUGUCUCCAGUCCUUUGUACAUAAAUUGAUUCAGUGUGGCACUGAAUUCUGCUACUCCCAGGGACUACCAAGAGUAGCACAGAAUCUGAAAUAAGUCUGUUGGUUAUAUUCCAGCAUGCCUGCUAUAAAGCUCCUCAUAAUUAAAAUAUGUAGUAAGCUUUCUGUUUAAAACAUAUAGUUAAAAAAAACACUCUCCUUGUCAAGUCAUUAAUUAUAUAUAAAGAAAAUCAAAUCAGACAAUAAUAUUUAUCCUAAUUUGCGAUUAAAUAUUUUGCUUUAAUUUUGUUGGCCAAAAUAGGUUACAUCUGUGACUGUUUUUUCAGAUCUUUGAUACCCCUUAUUCCAAUUAGAAUUGAAGGGCUAAGUCAAGUUGAUAAGCAAUAUAUUUCAAAUGGAGAGUAGGUUCCAAUUGGAAGCAAUGCAGGCAAUGAGCUAGUGAAUGUGGACAAAAUGCGAGUAAAGGGGUAACAAUGGCAGCCUCCCACAAGCUGAUCCCCCCUCCCCCAGCAUCUGUCACACUGAUCUCUCAGUGGGGAAUAAAUAUGACAAAGAGAACUUUAAUAUCUGAACACAGGACCUCCCAGGAACCGAGAGGUGGUGGGUGGGGACAAACUGAGGGCAAAAAAGCAGCAAUGCUACUCAAAGAGAAACCACCAAGUCAAAUCUACAAGGCCAUGAUUCAAAUGUGCAUGUGCAAGGCAAUCACCUGCUGGUUGAAAACAAAUCUCCUUCCAUAUAAACUAUGAUUAUUGGAAAUCUCAUUAAAUUUAUUCAAACUUUUUCUCCUUUAACUAAGUCUGUUAGUGAAAUUCCAAUAUGGUCACUGUUCUCCUUAUGAUACGGUGUAUAUUAAUUUACUGAUAAAGUGUGGUGUCCAAAAUCAUCUGUUCUAUAUAACUUGGUAAGUAAAUACAGACUAAAAAAAACUAUCAAUGGUAAAUUUCAAAAUUUAGACCUUCUUUUGUAUUUAGUUCUUGCGGAUAUAAUUUCUGGAUCAUUUUAGCCAUCAGUUGAGGGAGCAUCCAUUAUUUAAUUAAUUAUUUUUCAUGGCUUAUUCCUUGGAUCAUCUGGGUUUUAGUUAUGAGUUGCACCGUACAUAUAGAAUGCCAAAAUAUUAAUUUUGUAUAAGUGUUAUUUUGUUUAUACAAAUUUGAUAGAAUAGUUAGCGAGUUGUGAAAUUUGUAUAUUACUUUGCUUUUAGGAGAAAGAGAAUGUGUAAUGCAAUAAAAUUAAGUCACAGGCAUUUUCAGACCCAUGGGAAGUGUUAUUUAUACCAUACUAAUUGUCAGGGCUUGAAGUGUAUUUGUGAAUACUUUACAAUAUUGAUACUGGCUUAAAUUGUCAAGGAAUAUUAAAUACCGUAUUGAAUUAGUCAAGGAAUGUUGAACAUUGGAUUAAAACCAGGAAUAUUAGAGUAAGUCAAAUUAUUCCCACAUUUUGAUUGGUUUCCACUUAUGGUGCUUUGGAGGACAGACCCACAGAUGACAUCAUGGAUUCCCUUUUUUGUUUCUUUACUAUAUAAAACAAGUAGUCUGUAGAUUCCAUGUUGCUAUGCAUCUGUGGUACAUUCUUACCACAUUUUAACAUCAUCUGUGAUGUAUUAUUUUAGGCAACAUGGAAGAUAUUUGUCUAUUGAAUACCUUUGUACAUGUAAGUACCACAUCAGGCAAUAAUCAUCUUUAUUCUGGCCUGAAAAUAGAGAUUGGUUUCUCAUGGAAAAUUGGAUUGGUAUGAUGCAUAGUAUUUAGCUUCAACGCCAAAUGAUAAGCAGUGUAUGUGAUUUCACGAUCAUGCAGUCAAAUCUGUAUUAAGUAGACAUGCUCAGGGAAUGCCCCCAUGUCCACUUAAUUAUACAGUUUUCAAAUGAAGACACUACAACCAAAAAUAUUUCUGCUAAAAAAAACAAACUCUAAGCUGUCAGUAGUGGAAUGCCAAAUAACUAAGAGCAACAAGGGUAUAAGGAACUGUUUCUUUUUCUGCCAUAUUGUAGGAGCUUAAUGCCUUUGAUUAGAAAAUACUAGUUACAUUUAUUUUCUUUUGAUGAUUCAACUUUCAUGUACUAUAUGGCAUUUAGCAAACGCUACUGAUACAAGCUAAGCUGUCAGUGAAGACUGUUUUAGAAAUUCAGCCCACAAACACACAGUUGUUCAGGGUUCAAAUUUACAUGGGCUUGGGAUGAAAGGAUUGGUAUGUUGAUCAUUGUCAGUAAUUCAAGGGGAGAAUUAUGUAACAGCUGAUCAUUUUACAAGAUUUAGGUCUUUUGCAUGCAUUGAACAUUGAAGAGUAAUAAGAAUGAGCCAAACAAAAUGUGUAAGAAACAUUUAAGAUUAAUUUUCCAUUUGACCAUAGUAGUAAAUGACCUACUGUUUUUCAUCAUUGAAGCCGAUGUACACAUAAUUAUAUGUCAGUAACAAAUAAAACCAAUUUUUCCAGUGUUACAGGUA